Molecule: ribosomal RNA, 729 nt
Filed under: uncultured bacterium
Lineage: Bacteria
Description: bacterial SSU rRNA
Rfam family: Bacterial small subunit ribosomal RNA
Source: RNAcentral
AACUUCUUUAUCACCGAGUGCUUGCACUCACCGAUAAAGAGUUGAGUGGCGAACGGGUGAGUAACACGUGGGCAACCUGCCCAAAAGAGGGGGAUAACACUUGGAAACAGGUGCUAAUACCGCAUAACCAUAGUUACCGCAUGGUAACUAUGUAAAAGGUGCCUAUACUACCGCUUUUGGAUGGGCCCGCGGCGCAUUAGCUAGUUGGUAGGGUAAAGGCUUACCAAGGCAAUGAUGCGUAGCCGAAUUGAGAGGUUGAUCGGCCACAUUGGGACUGAGACACGGCCCAAACUCCUACGGGAGGCAGCAGUAGGGAAUCUUCCACAAUGGGCGAAAGCCUGAUGGAGCAACGCCGCGUGGGUGAAGAAGGUCUUCGGAUCGUAAAACCCUGUUGUUAGAGAAGAAAGUGCGUGAGAGUAACUGUUCACGUUUCGACGGUAUCUAACCAGAAAGCCACGGCUAACUACGUGCCAGCAGCCGCGGUAAUACGUAGGUGGCAAGCGUUAUCCGGAUUUAUUGGGCGUAAAGGGAACGCAGGCGGUCUUUUAAGUCUGAUGUGAAAGCCUUCGGCUUAACCGGAGUAGUGCAUUGGAAACUGGGAGACUUGAGUGCAGAAGAGGAGAGUGGAACUCCAUGUGUAGCGGUGAAAUGCGUAGAUAUAUGAAGAACACCAGUGGCGAAAGCGGCUCUCUGGUCUGUAACUGACGCUGAAGUUCGAAAGCGUGGGUA